Schizosaccharomyces pombe (fission yeast) is the source of this 903-nucleotide non-coding RNA. The record is from the annotation of a GenBank genome assembly. Lineage: Eukaryota; Fungi; Ascomycota; Schizosaccharomycetes; Schizosaccharomycetales; Schizosaccharomycetaceae.
AAUCGAUGUACAUAGGGAAAUAAAUCGAAUAACCAUAGUCAAGUGGCUGGCCUCUGCCAACCGUAUUCAAAAAUUUGGGGAGUUCUUCCAAUGGAAAAGAUGGCUUGUCUAAUGUAAAAUCAAAAUUCAAAAGUGAAAUGUCAACUAAAGGUGGGCGAAUAGGAAUUGGAAUAAUAUUUUCUUUGAACAAAAUGUGCUUAUCCAAAGCAUCGGAUUCUGGCCAAGCAGUCAUUCGACGAAUACGAAGACGAUGAUAUCUAAACUCCCUAAUCCGUUUUAUGUUUGAGAUCCAUGAUAAGGAGUCAUACUCCAUUAAUUUCUCCCGAGCUGUAUCUUCAUCUACCGAAACGUUUUUUAGGAACGAAGAAUUAUUUGUAGGACGGCUGCCCAAAAAGUCUUCGAAGCUUCGAUUUAAAUCUUCAAGCUUUCUUUGUUGUGCAUUUGCAUUUUCUGUCGUAUGAUUUGAUGUAUUACUCGAGUUGCUAUCAUUAUCAUCUAUAUCAGAACCGUUUUGGUAAAAUGAAGACGAUUCAGAUGCAGAUUUAGGAGACGGAUCUUUAGCUUUACGAAGUAAAUUUGCUCGCUCUUCAAAGAUGUUCCACCGGUCUAUACGCAUCUGUUGUUCUGUUAAACCAAUGCGGUAAUUCAUUCCUAACCGACAUUCGAACGGAUCAUCGUCAACUUCAAACUUAAAUUUUGUCGACUUGAUUUGGAUGUGAGGGACUACUCUUGGUUGUUUGAUUUCCUCUGCCAAAUCAUGCUGUUGAUCAAUAGUCAAGGGCUCUGCAGAUACUCUAAUCGCUGCUUUAACAGUGUUAAUGGCACUUUCAAUUAAUAUGAAAGGGAUAAACUUAUGAGGAAUCCGGAUAGAGAUAUAACUGCAGGUUACUUGAUGUAGCUUUU